RNAcentral lists this ribosomal RNA (26 nucleotides) under Parmelina tiliacea. Its description in RNAcentral is "partial 18S ribosomal RNA". Lineage: Eukaryota; Fungi; Ascomycota; Lecanoromycetes; Lecanorales; Parmeliaceae. The record is from RNAcentral.
CCCNCUGAACCUGCGGAAGGAUCAUU